This 503-nucleotide ribosomal RNA is filed under the name uncultured bacterium. RNAcentral describes it as "partial 16S ribosomal RNA". It matches the Rfam family "Bacterial small subunit ribosomal RNA", at positions 30 to 523 of the family's 1533-position model. The record is from RNAcentral.
AUUGAACGCUGGCGGCAGGCUUAACACAUGCAAGUCGAGCGGAGUGAUGGUGCUUGCACUAUCACUUAGCGGCGGACGGGUGAGUAAUGCUUAGGAAGCUGCCUAUUAGUGGGGGACAACAUCUCGAAAGGGAUGCUAAUAUCGCAUACGUCCUACGGGAGAAAGCAGGGGAUCACUUGUGACAUUGCGCUAAUAGAUGAGCCUAAGUCGGAUUAGCGAGUUGGUGGGGUAAAGGCCUACCAAGGCGACGAUCUGUAGCGGGUCUGAGAGGAUCAUCCGCCUCACUGGGACUGAAACACGGCCCAGACUCCUACGGGAGGCAGCAGUGGAGAAUAUUGGACAAUGGGGGGAACCCUGAUCCAGCCAUGCCGCGUGUGUGAAGAAGGCCUUAUGGUUGUAAAGCACUUUAAGCGAGGAGGAGGCUCUUUUGGUUAAUACCCAAGAUGAGUGGACGUUACUCGCAGAAUAAGCACCGGCUAACUCUGUGCCAGCCGCCGCCGUAA